RNAcentral lists this ribosomal RNA (636 nucleotides) under uncultured bacterium. RNAcentral describes it as "bacterial SSU rRNA". It matches the Rfam family "Bacterial small subunit ribosomal RNA", at positions 8 to 644 of the family's 1533-position model. The record is from RNAcentral.
AGAGUUUGAUCAUGGCUCAGGAUGAACGCUGGCGGCGUGCCUAACACAUGCAAGUCGAGCGAAGCACUUUAAUUCGAUUCUUCGGAUGAAGAUUUUUGUGACUGAGCGGCGGACGGGUGAGUAACGCGUGGGCAACCUGCCUUACACAGGGGGAUAACAGUUAGAAAUGACUGCUAAUACCGCAUAAGACCGCAGUACCGCAUGGUACAGCGGUAAAAACUCCGGUGGUGUAAGAUGGGCCCGCGUCUGAUUAGGUAGUUGGCGGGGUAACGGCCCACCAAGCCGACGAUCAGUAGCCGACCUGAGAGGGUGACCGGCCACAUUGGGACUGAGACACGGCCCAGACUCCUACGGGAGGCAGCAGUGGGGAAUAUUGCACAAUGGGGGAAACCCUGAUGCAGCGACGCCGCGUGAGCGAUGAAGUAUUUCGGUAUGUAAAGCUCUAUCAGCAGGGAAGAAAAUGACGGUACCUGACUAAGAAGCCCCGGCUAACUACGUGCCAGCAGCCGCGGUAAUACGUAGGGGGCAAGCGUUAUCCGGAUUUACUGGGUGUAAAGGGAGCGUAAACGGCUGUGCAAGCCAGAUGUGAAAGCCCGGGGCUCAACCCCGGGACUGCAUUUGGAACUGUGUGGCUGG